CUUGUAGGCGGUUUGUCGCGUCGGAAGUGAAAACUCAGGGCUUAACCCUGAGCCUGCUUCCGAUACGGGCAAACUAGAGGAAUGCAGGGGAGAAUGGAAUUCCUGGUGGAGCGGUGGAAUGCGCAGAUAUCAGGAGGAACACCAGUGGCGAAGGCGGUUCUCUGGGCAUUUCCUGACGCUGAGAAGCGAAAGCGUGGGGAGCAAACAGGCUUAGAUACCCUGGUAGUCCACGCCGUAAACGGUGGGCACUAGGUGUGGGACUCAUUCCACGAGUUCCGUGCCGUAGCUAACGCAUUAAGUGCCCCGCCUGGGGAGUACGGCCGCAAGGCUAAA
Molecule: ribosomal RNA, 333 nt
Filed under: uncultured Microlunatus sp.
Lineage: Bacteria; Bacillati; Actinomycetota; Actinomycetes; Propionibacteriales; Propionibacteriaceae
Description: bacterial SSU rRNA
Rfam family: Bacterial small subunit ribosomal RNA
Source: RNAcentral